RNAcentral lists this ribosomal RNA (497 nucleotides) under Lobosphaera sp. K-1. Its description in RNAcentral is "eukaryotic LSU rRNA". It matches the Rfam family "Eukaryotic large subunit ribosomal RNA", at positions 1 to 503 of the family's 3401-position model. Lineage: Eukaryota; Viridiplantae; Chlorophyta; Trebouxiophyceae; Trebouxiales; Trebouxiaceae. The record is from RNAcentral.
UCGACCUGAGAUCAGGCAAGAACACCCGCUGAACUUAAGCAUAUCACUAAGCGGAGGAAAAGAAACUAACCAGGAUUCCCCUAGUAGCGGCGAGCGAACCGGGAAGAGCCCAACUUGAAAAUCUCCAGGCCUUGCCUGGCGAAUUGUAGUCUAUAGAAGCGCCCUCUGCGGCAGGUCGCGCCCAAGUCCCCUGGGAGGGGGCGUCAGAGAGGGUGAGAACCCCGUCGGCGCGCGCCUGUCCGCUCCACGAGGCGCUUUCGCAGAGUCGGGUUGUUUGGGAAUGCAGCCCAAAGCAGGUGGUAAAUCCCAUCUAAGGCUAAAUACUGACGGGAGACCGAUAGCGAACAAGUACCGUUGAGGGAAAGAUGAAAAGAACUUUGAAAAGAGAGUUAAAAGUGCUUGAAAUUGUUGAAGGGGGAAGAGAUUGGAAGCCUCGGGUGCCCCAAGGCUUAUGCCGGCCUCACGGCCCGCUGCAUGUGCUGGGUGCUGGUCAACAU